CCUACGGGUGGCAGCAGUGAGGAAUAUUGGUCAAUGGACGCAAGUCUGAACCAGCCAUGCCGCGUGCAGGAAGACGGCUCUAUGAGUUGUAAACUGCUUUUGUACGAGGGUAAAUCCCGAUACGUUUAUCGGGUUGAAAGUAUCGUACGAAUAAGGAUCGGCUAACUCCGUGCCAGCAGCCGCGGUAAUACGGAGGAUUCAAGCGUUAUCCGGAUUGAUGGUGGUUAAAGGGUGCGUAGGCGGAGUGUCAAGUCAGCGGUAAAAUUUCGGGGCUCAACCCCGUCGUGCCGUUGAAACUGACGGCCGUGAGUGAGUGAGAAGUAAGCGGAAUGCGUGGUGUAGCGGUGAAAUGCAUAGAUAUCACGCAGAACGCCGAUUGCGAAGGCAGCUUACCGGCGCUCAACUGACGCUGAGGCACGAAAGUGCGGGUAUCGAACAGGAUUAGAUACCCUUGUAGUC
RNAcentral lists this ribosomal RNA (459 nucleotides) under uncultured bacterium. RNAcentral describes it as "partial 16S ribosomal RNA". It matches the Rfam family "Bacterial small subunit ribosomal RNA", at positions 338 to 795 of the family's 1533-position model. The record is from RNAcentral.